AGAGUUUGAUCAUGGCUCAGAACGAACGCUGGCGGCAGGCCUAACACAUGCAAGUCGAGCGCGCUCUUCGGAGUGAGCGGCGGACGGGUUAGUAACGCGUGGGAACAUACCCUUUUCUACGGAAUAGCCUCGGGAAACUGAGAGUAAUACCGUAUACGCCCUUCGGGGGAAAGAUUUAUCGGAGAAGGAUUGGCCCGCGUUUGAUUAGAUAGUUGGUGGGGUAAUGGCCUACCAAGUCUACGAUCAAUAGCUGGUUUGAGAGGAUGAUCAGCAACACUGGGACUGAGACACGGCCCAGACUCCUACGGGAGGCAGCAGUGGGGAAUCUUAGACAAUGGGCGCAAGCCUGAUCUAGCCAUGCCGCGUGAGUGACGAAGGCCUUAGGGUCGUAAAGCUCUUUCGCCAGAGAUGAUAAUGACAGUAUCUGGUAAAGAAACCCCGGCUAACUCCGUGCCAGCAGCCGCGGUAAUACGGAGGGGGUUAGCGUUGUUCGGAAUUACUGGGCGUAAAGCGUACGUAGGCGGAUUGGAAAGUAUGGGGUGAAAUCCCAGGGCUCAACCCUGGAACUGCCCUGUAAACUAUCAGUCUAGAGUUCGAGAGAGGUGAGUGGAAUUCCAAGUGUAGAGGUGAAAUUCGUAGAUAUUUGGAGGAACACCAGUGGCGAAGGCGGCUCACUGGCUCGAUACUGACGCUGAGGUAC
RNAcentral lists this ribosomal RNA (700 nucleotides) under uncultured bacterium. Its description in RNAcentral is "bacterial SSU rRNA". It matches the Rfam family "Bacterial small subunit ribosomal RNA", at positions 8 to 754 of the family's 1533-position model. The record is from RNAcentral.